GGCAUUCCGAGUCAAUAGUAUGGUUAUAAAACUCACAUGGGGUAUUAAAAAUACAUUGAUUUACGAGGUUUUCAAACAUAUUGGUUAUUUUACACGUACAUACAUUUUCUAGAAACAAACAUUUGUCUUGUUAGAAGGCUACAUUUAUGUUAGUAGAAAAUAUGGGAUUUUCUAGAAACAAACAAACAAAAACAAAACAUUUCAUUUUCAUACAAACAUUGUCAUUUAAUACUUAUGAAACUCACCAGCUUAAAUGCUGAUCUACUCUUUCAAAACUACUUGUAUGUCCCAGGGAUUCAGUAAUUACAGGUAUCAAAACAGCUUUUGAAGAAGGGACGCUGCGUCGUCAGUUUAAAUUCAUAUUUUGGCAUCAUAUUGUAAUUGGUUUUGAACAUGUACUUUUAACAAUGUAAACUUUCAAUUAUAUAUAUGAUGGUUGUAUUGCUUUCUUUACUAUGUAUUCAUUUGUUAUGCUACCACAUGAAGUCAUCCGCCCCCGAACGUUUCCGCCGUUCAGGUUUGGGGGUGUGACAGAUUGGUAUCAGAGCAAUGUUUAUAGUGAACUAAGUAUAUCGAACCACAUAAGAUAUACAAACUAUAAAUGCUUAAGGGACUCAUACUCUCUGACAAAACAUUUUUCUUCUGUUUUUACGCUUAAGCAGCGUUACGUUUAACUUAAAUUGUUAGUUCAUUUAAGUACAAAUACGUGCAUACAACAAAUUAUUUUCAUGAUUAUAACUAUACAAGAAGUAUUUAGACAAGUUGGACACUACGAUUAAGACUCGAUAUAUGUAAUCGGAUUUGGGACAAAUAUAGCAUGAUCAACUAUAUUUGUCCGAGAUCGGACCAAUAUAUAUCGAGGAUUGCUCGUUGUAAGCAACAAGUCAAAACUUACCAAAACAUCACAAGAAUCAAACACAAGAAUUUAAAUACUAUAGGAGUAUUAGCUACAUAAACUAGUUUAACUUACAUGUUUAAUUCUUACAAGUUCCAACUUUAUUUCAAUUCUUAUAACCCUAUUCUCGUACAGUCAAAUGGCUGGAUUUCACCACCCCGGCGACCCCUACUAUCCCAACCAAGGCAACGGGGGAUGGAUCGAAGAUGAUCCCGAGGAGGAAGAAGAAUCCAUAGAAUUGGAUGAUGACUCCGGUACCGACUCAGAGCCGGAAGUGAUCAAUCCACCUCCUGCACAACCUCCCGUCUUCGUCAGGAACUUUCAAGGAGCGACUCCCGUCUGGGGAAGUCACCUCCACCAUUGGAGCCAACAACAAAACCUACGCCCUCCCUACGGCAAGUGCCGAGACUUCUACGAUGUCCGAGGCGGAGGUUCGGCUGAUCGGGCACUACCAGUAUUGGUCGGCAAACUAGCCAAUUAGUCCUACCAAGUCGGAGUUCAAGCUAGCCGGAUUCGGGAUGUCAACAUAGAAGUACAGGUUCAUACUUCUGACAUCCGUAGGCUGGACAAAAUUCAGGACAAUGCCCAACUCCAAAUCGAGGUAUUCCAAGCGCAAAUGAUUGCGGCCCUAGCCGAAUUGAGGGAACAACAAGCCGCUUUUGAUAGGCGUCUUAUGGAAUCGAAGCAAUCGGAUGCGGAGUCAAGCUCCAAGCCCAACCUACGUCGCAAGUAGUGCUUGCCAAAAUCUCAAAUUUUGUUAUAAGUUAGGACCUCGGCUAAAAGUUUUUAAUUUUUCUUAAACUUUGUAACCGGAGACCCUUAUAGGGGUCAAAUUUUCGUGAUCAUUGUAUCAACUAUUAUAUUAAUAUAAGUGGCACUAUUAUUAAUACGUGGAGUAUUUCAUUCAAUCCUUAAAAAGUUAUGGAAAAACCAAAUGCUUGUUUCAUAUUUUCAGUCUUACAAAUAACUUUCAUUCUUCUAUUUUGAGACUCGUACUAUCAUCUGUUGUUGGGCUAUAGCAAUUUAGUUCAUGAGACACAUACAGUUUCUAUGCCAUGGAAUUCUUAUCUUUAUCUUUUCAACCUAUAGUUGAAGGAUGCCUCCGCGUAGGAACCCAAGACGAAACAACGGUGGGGAAGCACCUAUACCACCACCACCUCCACCUCCUCAAUUUGAUGCUGUCAUGUUCCAAGCAGCAGUCCCCGCAGUGGUAGCAGCUGCCAUGUCACAGAUCAAUAACUCGAGUACUACUGGCUCGGGAACUGGCACACACCUAUCCAACCAUGGCGAGAGUCAUGGGCAACCCCGAGAAUGCACCUAUAAGGACUUUACUAAUGCCAAACCCCGGAUGUUUUAUGGAACUGGUGGUGUGAUGGCUCUGAGGCAGUGGAUUGAAAGGAUAGAAUCAGUCUUUGAAAUCUGCUCCUGUCCUGAGCACAGCAAAGUCAAGUUUGCAACUUUCACCCUUAUUGAUAGAGCUUUAACUUGGUGGAAUGGCCACGUUAAGGUACUUACCCUGAUAGUGGCAAACUCCAUAAGCUGGGAAAGCUUAAAAGUCAUGCUGAUGAGAGAAUACUGUCCACGAGGAGAGAUUCAAAAACUCGAGCACGAACUCUGGACUCUUGGAAUGGUUGGUACCGAUAUCGCAACUUAUACCAAUAGAUUCUGCGAUCUGGCAAUCCUCUGUCCAGAUAUAAUUGCUCCUGAGAGCAAGAAAAUAGAGAGAUACAUUUGGGGACUGUCGCCCCAAAUUAGGUCAAGCGUGUUAGCUUCAAAACCUGACACUUUUGAAAGUGCCAAGGAACUGGCACAAUCUCUUGUUGACUACGGAGGUCAUCAGAACUCAACGGUUGCUACACCAGAACCACAAAAAGGAAACAACAACAACAACAAUAACAGGAAGAGAGUAUGGAAUAAAGGGAAGGGUGGGCCUUCCCAAGAAUCCGCGAAGAAAAAACUGGUUUCAGUGAAUGCUGCUACUGUACCUACUACCGUUCCUACGAAUCCCUACCCAACAAAGCCUUAUGGGGGUAAUCUUCCAUAGUGCACGAAAUGCACUUAUCACCAUCAUGGACCUUGUCAGGAAAUGCAGUGUUCCAACUGCAACAGAAAGGGACACACUGUCCGUUUCUGCAAGGAUCCCGCGAAGCCGAUCACUCAAGUUCCCAGUGCGGGUGUAGGCCAAACUUGCUACGGUUGUGGCGAGGUGGGCCACUAUAAGAGAAANGAGGUGGGCCACUACAGAAGGAACUGCCCAAAGCCAGCAAAUACCGACGGGGUGGGACGAGUUUUGGCUAUAGGCCACGAUGAAGCCGUAGCUGAUCCGACUGUAGUUGCUGGUACGUUCCUUCUCGAUAAUUCAUAUGCAUGCAUAUUAUUCGAUAGUGGAGCGGAGAGAAGCUUCGUGAGUCAAAACUUUAUUCACUUACUUAAACAUAAACCUAGCAAGUUAGAAAAAUCAUUCACUGUAGAGAUGGCCAAUGGAAAAACGGAAAACACUAACUGCAUAUACAUGGACUGUACGUUAACUUUAGACGGUCAUUCUUUCCCAAUCAACCUCAUGCCGGUCCAAAUUAAAAGUUUCGACGUCAUAGUCGGCAUGGAUUGGUUAUGUCUUUUUCGCGCCAACAUCCUGUGCUUUGAAAAAGCAGUUCGUCUUAGCCUUCCUAACGAUGAAACAUUAGUGAUUUACGGCGACAAAUCAAGUAAAAACCUUCGUAUCAUUUCGUGCAUCCAAGCUCGAAAGUGUUUACGGAAGGAUUGUUGAGCAUUCCUAGCACACAUCGUCGAUACGAGUCAGGAACUGAAGGACAUCAAGAACAUUCCAGAAGUACGCGACUUUCCCGAUAUCUUUCCAGAAGAACUACCGGGAUUACCACCACAACGCCAAGUCGAUUUUUGAAUCGACUUAGUUCUAGGGGCUACCCCAGUAGCGAAGUCGCCUUAUCGCCUAGCACCAGCAGAGAUGCAAGAACUUUCCAGUCAGCUUAACGAACUCCUUCAAAAAGGAUUCAUCAGACCAAGUUUCUAACCUUGGGGAGCACCGGUCCUGUUUGUAAAGAAGAAAGACGGAUCGUUCCGCAUGUGCAUCGACUACAGAGAACUGAACAAGCUUACUGUCAAAAAUCGCUAUCCUCUACCCCGUAUUGAUGACCUAUUUGAUCAUCUUCAAGGAGCAAACUACUUCUCGAAGAUAGAUCUACGAUCCGGAUAUCACCAAUUACGAGUGCUAGAAGGGGAUAUUCCCAAGACAGCAUUCCGAACUCGUUAUGGACACUACGAAUUUGUAGUGAUACUGUUCGGGUUAACCAACACACCAGCAGUAUGUAUGGACCUAAUGAAUAGGGUGUGUCGUCCCUACUUAGAUCAGUUCGUCAUCGUCUUCAUCGAUGACAUACUUAUCUACUCCCGAAGUAAGGAAGAACAUAGUCAGCACUUACGAAAAGCCUUAGAAACAUUGCGAUCGGAGAAGCUCUAUGCGAAGUUCUCUAAAUGCGAAUUUUGGAUUCGAAGAGUCGAAUUUUUGGGCCACAUUGUUAGCGAGAAGGGGAUACACGUGGACCCCUCCAAAAUUAAGGCCAUUGAGAACUGGUCGGCACCAAAGACACCUACAGAGAUUCGUCAAUUUCUAGGUCUCGCCGGCUACUAUCGCAGAUUCAUAAAGAACUUCUCUAGCAUUGCGAAACCUCUUACUAAAUUAACCCAGAAAGGCGUGGCCUUUGACUAGGAAGCGAAACAAGAGAAGGCGUUCCAAAUGCUGAAACAUGCCUUGUGCACCGCACUGAUACUAUCCCUCCCCAAAGGGAUAGAAGAUUUCGUAGUGUAUUGCGAUGCAUCAAACCAAGGACUUGGUUGCGUUCUUAUGCAGAGAGGGAAGGUUAUUGCUUAUGCCUCCCGACAGCUUAAGACACACGAAGUGAACUAUACGACCCACGAUCUUGAGUUAGGAGCAGCGGUAUUUGCUCUGAAGAUCUGGAGACACUACUUAUACGGAACAAAGAGUACUAUUUUCACCGAUCACAAGAGCCUUCAACACAUUUUUGAUCAGAAGGAACUCAACAUGCGACAACGACGAUGGGUCGAGUUACUCAAUGACUACGAAUGUGAAAUUCGUUAUCAUCCUGGCAAGGCCAACGUGGUAGCUGACGCCCUCAGUCGAAAAGAAUACACUGGGUGGAGAGUCAAAUCUCAGACUAUGACUAUCCAUUCCCACUUAUCCACACAAAUUAAGGAGGCUCAACUGGAAGCUUUGCAACCUGAAAAUGUGGCAAGUGAAUCCCUGAGAGGAAUGGAAAAGAAUUUAGAAAUCAAGGGUGGCGGAGCAUAUUAUCUCAUGGACCGAAUCUGGACGCCGAAACAUGGUGGUUUCAGAGACGUAGUCAUGACCGAAGCACACAACACGAGAUAUUCCGUUCACCCAGGUUCAGAUAAAAUGUAUCUGGAUCUUAAGAAACUGUACUGGUGGCCUAACAUGAAAGCAGAAAUUGCUACCUUCGUAAGUAAAUGCCUUACUUGCGCUAAGGUUAAGGUCGAGUAUCAGAAACCGUCAGGAUUACUACAACAACCGGAGAUACCAGAAUGGAAAUGGGAGCGGAUUACUAUGGACUUCAUAACCAAGUUACCCAAGACGACGAGUGGACUCGAUACCAUAUGGGUCAUUGUCGACAGAUUGACCAAAUCCGCACAUUUCCUACCCAUCAAGGAGACUGACAAAAUGGAGAAGCUUACAAGAACUUACUUAAGGGAAGUAGUGCGACUGCAUGGUGUUCCGAUAUCCAUUAUCUCCGAUAGAGAUAGUAGAUUCACUUCAAGAUUCUGGCAGUCACUACAAAGUUCCCUGGGGACUAGGCUAGACAUGAGUACAGCCUACCACCCACAAACAGACGGGCAAAGUGAGAGAACGAUACAAACUUUAGAAGAUAUGCUGAGAGCCUGUGUGAUUGACUUUGGAAAGGCAUGGGAUAUCCAUUUACCCCUUGUCGAAUUUUCAUACAACAAUAGUUAUCAUACAAGCAUAAAGGCUGCUCCGUUUGAAGCCCUCUAUGGUCGAAAGUGCAGAUCCCCUCUGUGCUGGACUGAAGUUGGCGAUACCCAGUUAGCUAGAGGAAGAGUUCCUGAAAGCACUCUCACCGGUCCGGAGAUCAUACGAGAAACGACAGAGAAGAUCGUUCAGAUUCGUGAACGAUUGAAAGCCUCUAGAGACCGACAGAAAAGCUACGCUGACCAAAGGAGGAAACCUUUGGAAUUCCAGGUAGGAGACCACGUCUUAUUAAAGGUCUCACCGUGGAAGGGUUUAAUACGAUUUGGAAAGCGUGGGAAACUAAAUCCAAGAUACAUAGGGCCUUUCGAGAUUCUUGCCAGAAUCGGCCCUGUGGCUUACAAGCUUAACCUACCGCGCGAACUUAGUAACAUCCAUCCAACCUUCCACGUCUCAAACUUGAAAAAGUGUCUGUCCGACGAGACUCUUGUUAUUCCACUCGACGAGAUCGAGAUCAACGAGAGCCUCAACUUUGUGGAAGAACCGGUAGAAAUCAUGGACCGAGAGGUCAAACAAACAAAACAAAGUCGCAUACCCAUCGUGAAGGUUCGUUGGAACGCCAAGCGGGGACCUAAAUUCACAUGGGAACGCGAAGAUCAGAUGAAACAAAAGUACCCUCACCUUUUUCAUAUUCACUAGUAUCCUUACUACUUUAAAUUUCGAGAUGAAAUUCCCUCUAACGGGGGGAUGAUGUGACAACCCGAUAUUUCAACUCUUUGUAACGACCAAAAUGGGUCAAGUAUUGUAACCACUUCUGAAUAAUAAAAAGUUACCUUCAUAAUAACAUGUAUAAAUAAGUUCUACUUAAUUUCCUUCUAUGAUUAAAUGUCUUUGAAACAUAAUCGUACGUGAAAAGAACGCCCAAAUCCGACUUCAUAUAGCGAAGAUAUGAUUUUUCCAAGUUCGGCUUAGCAACAGACAGCUAAAAACUCGAAUCGGAGAUCGAGCGACUUUUGGCCGGAAUGACCUAAACGAGAAUCGAAGGUCUCGACAAUGGUAAUUCAGCGGUAAAAAGUCUGGCAAAAACCGACGUCAGAUAAAGAAGUUAUGAAUUUCUAAAGAAAUUCCUUAAACACGACCUUUUAAAAAUAAAUAAUAAAAAUAAUUUCAAAAUUUGCCGACGGAAUCUAAACGAAAGUUGUAGAGCGUAGUCUCACCUACGUGUGGAUAUAAAGACCAUCGAAAACGGAAUUCGUAUGAAGAAGAUAUGAAUUUUAGAAGUUUAUUAAUUAAAUAAAAUAUUAAUUUAAUUAUUAAUCCUUGGUAUUAUCCGAAGGGGAGUCGUCAGAUAGGGCCGAGUUACGCCCCGCGUAAGCUCGUACGCCCCGUGUACUAAAAGCCUAGGCUUCGGAUCGUCCACGUCUCGCCCUAUGCGAAGUUAUGCCCCGUCCCAUCCGAGUCCGAGGCAGUCGAGGAUCCGGUCAUGCGUGACAUACGCGUACGCCCAGCGUACCCUCGUACGCCCCGCGUACCGAGGCGGUUUCCAGCCCCUAUAAAAGGGAUGCGAGGGUUCCGAAGAAAGGGCUCCAUUUCUCUAAUUUCUUUUGCGUUCUUGCCUCGUUUUCCAUGCCCAUGCUAACCCGAAGCCCUGGUCAUUUUGCUCAAGUCCCGAAGAUCGUUUGUACUCCCGAGAUUCCCGAGAAAAUCCGUUUUCCCGAGACAAAAUUCUGCCCGAAGAUCAUACCCCUUAAUUAACCCUUUUAAAUAUUCUAAAUGCUUUUAUAUGCUUUCAUGGGGGGGGGGGGGNNNNNNNNNNNNNNGGGGGGAAUACAAGUAAAACACACGAUUAUUAUCGGGUGUUAUAUAUAAAGUUUUAUUAUACACUUUUAUUAAAUAGAAUCAUAUGUGAUUUAUAAACUUUAUAGGGAACUCUCGUAUAUAAAAUAUAUUACAAUAGCAUUCUAUCUUUUGAAAUAUAAAUUGUUGUAAUGCAUGUAUAAACUAAACAUUUUGCUUAGAUUAUAUGUAUACGUGUCUAUCUUAGACACUAUAAAAAUCUAUACUUUCACAUCAAGUGAUUCAUUUUCUAGGGAUUUCUAAACAAAUGAGACACUUUUAGAAAGCUAUAAUAGGUAUAGUUUUACGAGAAUUUUUCUAACUUUUACAUACUAGACACACAAUUUUCGAANUUUUAUACUAAGAUUUGUGAGACAUUAACUUCACGUACGUUCGAGUACACAUUUCAAGUCCUGUAUUAUAUACCAGAAUCCCUUGGAGGGGGAGCAUGGUGUUUGUGUAUAGAUCUAUACGGGCUUGACAACCCGCGCCUUGACUGUUAGCUACAGUCCACCAUUUGGGGUGACAAACGUCAUAACAUUCCAACGCCUGAAGAACGUUGUGUAUAGGCAUUCCGAGUCAAUAGUAUGGUUAUAAAACUCACAUGGGGUAUUAAAAAUACAUUAAUUUACGAGGUUUUCAAACAUAUUGGUUAUUUUACACGUACAUACAUUUUCUAGAAACAAACAUUUGUCUUGUUAGAACGCUACAUUUAUGUUAGUAGAAAAUAUGGGAUUUUCUAGAAACAAACAAACAAAAACAAAACAUUUCAUUUUCAUACAAACAUUGUCAUUUAAUACUUAUGAAACUCACCAGCUUAAAUGCUGAUCUACUCUUUCAAAACUACUUGUAUGUCCCAGGGAUUCAGUAAUUACAGGUAUCAAAACAGCUUCUGAAGAAGGGACGCUGCGUCGUCAGUUUAAAUUCAUAUUUUGGCAUCAUAUUGUAAUUGGUUUUGAACAUGCACUUUUAACAAUGUAAACUUUCAAUUAUAUAUAUGAUGGUUGUAUUGCUUUCUUUACUAUGUAUUCAUUUGUUAUGCUACCACAUGAAGUCAUCCGCCCCCGAACGUUUCCGCCGUUCCGGUUUGGGGGUGUGACAUCUUUGGUAGUUUACAGUU
Molecule: long non-coding RNA, 8829 nt
Filed under: Lactuca sativa (garden lettuce)
Lineage: Eukaryota; Viridiplantae; Streptophyta; Magnoliopsida; Asterales; Asteraceae
Description: long non-coding RNA (LSAT_LNC002911)
Source: RNAcentral